UAUAUACUUCCUCCGUCCGGAAAUACUUGUCGGGGAAAUGGAUGUAUCUAGAUAUAUUUUAGUUCUAGAUACAUCCGUUUUCAUUCAUUUAUCCCACAAGUAUUUCCGAACGGAAGGAGUAUAAC
Non-coding RNA from Triticum aestivum (bread wheat), 125 nucleotides. NCBI's taxonomy places the organism in Eukaryota, Viridiplantae, Streptophyta, Magnoliopsida, Poales, Poaceae. The record is from Rfam.